GACGAACGCUUGCGGCGUGCUUAACACAUGCAAGUCGAACGGAAAGGCCCUGCUUUUGUGGGGUGCUCGAGUGGCGAACGGGUGAGUAACACGUGAGUAACCUGCCCUUGACUUUGGGAUAACUUCGGGAAACUGGGGCUAAUACCGGAUAGGAGCUCCUGCUGCAUGGUGGGGGUUGGAAAGUUUCGGCGGUUGGGGAUGGACUCGCGGCUUAUCAGCUUGUUGGUGGGGUAGUGGCUUACCAAGGCUUUGACGGGUAGCCGGCCUGAGAGGGUGACCGGCCACAUUGGGACUGAGAUACGGCCCAGACUCCUACGGGAGGCAGCAGUGGGGAAUAUUGCACAAUGGGCGGAAGCCUGAUGCAGCAACGCCGCGUGCGGGAUGACGGCCUUCGGGUUGUAAACCGCUUUCGCCUGUGACGAAGCGUGAGUGACGGUAAUGGGUAAAGAAGCACCGGCUAACUACGUGCCAGCAGCCGCGGUGAUACGUAGGGUGCGAGCGUUGUCCGGAUUUAUUGGGCGUAAAGGGCUCGUAGGUGGUUGAUCGCGUCGGAAGUGUAAUCUUGGGGCUUAACCCUGAGCGUGCUUUCGAUACGGGUUGACUUGAGGAAGGUAGGGGAGAAUGGAAUCCCUGGUGGAGCGGUGGAAUGCGCAGAUAUCAGGAGGAACACCCGUGGCGAAGGCGGUUCUCUGGGCCUUUCCUGACGCUGAGGAGCGAAAGCGUGGGGAGCGAACAGGCCUAGAUACCCUGGUAGUCCACGCUGUAAACGGUGGGUACUAGGUGUGGGGUCCAUUCCACGGGUUCCGUGCCGUAGCUAACGCUUUAAGUACCCCGCCUGGGGAGUACGGCCGCAAGGCUAAAACUCAAAGGAAUUGACGGGGCCCCGCACAAGCGGCGGAGCAUGCGGAUUAAUUCGAUGCAACGCGUAGAACCUUACCUGGGUUUGACAUGGAUCGGGAGUGCUCAGAGAUGGGUGUGCCUCUUUUGGGGUCGGUUCACAGGUGGUGCAUGGCUGUCGUCAGCUCGUGUCGUGAGAUGUUGGGUUAAGUCCCGCAACGAGCGCAACCCUUGUUCACUGUUGCCAGCACGUUAUGGUGGGGACUCAGUGGAGACCGCCGGGGUCAACUCGGAGGAAGGUGGGGAUGACGUCAAGUCAUCAUGCCCCUUAUGUCCAGGGCUUCACGCAUGCUACAAUGGCUGGUACAGAGAGUGGCGAGCCUGUGAGGGUGAGCGAAUCUCGGAAAGCCGGUCUCAGUUCGGAUUGGGGUCUGCAACUCGACCUCAUGAAGUCGGAGUCGCUAGUAAUCGCAGAUCAGCAACGCUGCGGUGAAUACGUUCCCGGGGCU
This 1346-nucleotide ribosomal RNA is filed under the name uncultured bacterium. RNAcentral's name for it is "partial 16S ribosomal RNA". It matches the Rfam family "Bacterial small subunit ribosomal RNA", at positions 28 to 1381 of the family's 1533-position model. The record is from RNAcentral.